RNAcentral lists this ribosomal RNA (253 nucleotides) under uncultured bacterium. RNAcentral describes it as "partial 16S ribosomal RNA". It matches the Rfam family "Bacterial small subunit ribosomal RNA", at positions 524 to 776 of the family's 1533-position model. The record is from RNAcentral.
UACGAAGGGGGCUAGCGUUGUUCGGAAUUACUGGGCGUAAAGCGCGCGUAGGCGGUGAUCUUUGUCAGAGGUGAAAGCCUGGGGCUCAACUCCAGAAUUGCCUUUGAAACGGGAUCGCUCGAGUCCGAGAGAGGAUGGCGGAAUUCCUAGUGUAGAGGUGAAAUUCGUAGAUAUUAGGAAGAACACCGGUGGCGAAGGCGGCCAUCUGGCUCGGUACUGACGCUCAGGCGCGAAAGCGUGGGGAGCAAACAGG